Molecule: long non-coding RNA, 1252 nt
Organism: Oncorhynchus mykiss (rainbow trout)
Lineage: Eukaryota; Metazoa; Chordata; Actinopteri; Salmoniformes; Salmonidae
Source: RefSeq, a predicted model, not a curated record
UGAUAAUAAUAAUAAUAAUUGAAAUAAAAAAGAUAUACACACAGAUGUACAGUAUAUAUCCAUAAACAUAUUCACAGGACACUCAACUUAUCUCUUAUAUCUUGUCCUACAUUAUCUAUUUUCCUUCACAGUUGUGAAUUAUAAAGAUUGUAAUGAUAUUAAUAGGCAGUCAACCGAGCAAGCUUUCUACAUUGACACCUUUGAAAUGACUGGCAUUUGGGGGAGCAAGAAAUGUGUGUAAAAUGUGUGUGUGCCAUAUGUGUGUGUAAUAUGUGUGUGUGAUGUGUGUGUCUUUCUGUCUGUCUAAACUUGAAAUGUUAUGCUGCCAUCCCAGAAGAGGGCUCUGUUCCUCGACCCAAUGGGGGAAAGUGCCGGAAAGAUAAAAAGAUGCCAGGUCAAGGUCAUUUUACAAUGGAAUGAAUAGUCUUCGAAAUGCUAUGCUGUUAUUUACCUCUAUAUUGUAAUCAAUAAAGUGUUUCAAAAUGCUGUACUUGUAUUAACAUAUAUGUUCAGAUCAUUCCUGAGAGAGAAGGGGGGUAAAAUCUCCAAAUGGGCGUGUGGUACCCUUCCUCACCCAUGCCAACAAGAGGCUACUUCUUGUGGAGUCUUUGCCUUGAAAAUGAUCUGAGCCAAAUGUGCCACUUCUGUGGGGAGGUGGACAAUAAUGAGGGAGGCUGAGUAAUUGCUUGUUCACUUCUAAAGGCACCUUUUUCCGAGUACGAAUUUGUAUAAGCAGUAAUAUUUCUAGAGGUAGUAUCGUCUGCUUUGUCUGGUAAUUAAAUAAUUGUAAUUCAAGAAAAUCUAUUUAAUGUUUUAAAUAUAUUAAACAUUUUUCAUCAUAAAUUUCAGAUUGGUUGUGACUGCUGCCCACGAUGGUUUAACCAGUCCUGUAUGAAAACCAUCCCAUAAUUGGAGGAUUAUGUCUGCGCUGCCUGUCAGGACUAGGUUAGCCUUGAGUUCCAGGCGACGGUAUCACCUGGAAAACUUUCCAUAAAAAGUGGACUAAAUGUUCAGUCAAGCUGUUGCAGCUUUCCAAUAUUUGUUUGUUAUUUAUUGUGUUUUUAUAUUUGAUUUAUUGUCAUUUUAUAUCUUAUUAUGCAAAGAUCGAAAUAUGUGUUUCUUAUUUAAUGUUUGUUUACAAACUUCACUUUCUGUGAUGUUUUUGUGUUAUUGGGUGAUAAUAUUUGUGUAUUAUCUUUAUUUUAAACAUUACAAAAUGUUUCUAAAAUAAAUGUUUAUGUUUCUUUAUACU